CUCCUCCGACAGCCUGGGUCCUGGCAUAAGAUUGAUAUAGAGCAGAGCUGCAUCUGGACCUUGAUGGACACUGUUCUGAACAAGAAAUGCAUUUGGAGUUAUAAGCAACUGCGAUGUUGGAGUCUUUUAUUACUACCGCACAGCAUAACCUAGGCUGAUUGAUCCAAGAGUUCACAUGGCUGGAAAGAGUCCAGCAUAAGCGGUGAUGGCACAAGUUCUGGAAUCAGGUUGAUGGAGUUCAUCAUAUUCUGGCUCAGUCACUUUCUAGCUGUGUGACCUUGAGCAAGAACCCAUCCACCCAACCAUGGUGAGAGACCCACGUGGAGAGGACUGGGGGCUCCUUGCCCUUGGCCGUGCCCGAGCUCUCGGCUGGCCGCCAGCACCAACUGGCCAGCCAUGCAGUGGCACCUCCUGAAAGUGGCUCCUCCAGCCCCAGUGAAGCGGCCCCAGCUGACGCAACGUGGACAGAUGUGAGCCUUCUCUGUUGAUUGCUGACUGAGCUCAAAAUUCGUGAACUAAAACUUUGGCACGACUGGUUUGUGGGCAGAGGUGACAGACCUGUCGGUUCCGUCUCUCCAGGCUGCCCAGGCUGAAGGCGUGAUCUCUUGGCACAUCUGUAUCUCAACAGCUCUGUACCAAAGUGCUGUGGCAGGCGGCAACGUUGGGGAUCUUCAAACCUUGACAGGAGGACACGGUAAGAAAUUCACUUUUAUAUUGUCAUUAGCACAACCAUUUACAUCUAAAACAGUAGUUCCCAGGUGAGGUGAUUCUGUGCCCUGGAGCACUUUGAACAGUGUCUGGAGAGAUUUUUGUCUGUCAUAACUGAAGAAGGGGUGCCAGUGUCAUCUAGUCGGUAAAAAACAGGUGGGGCUGUCAUAACAGAGCAUCACAGCCUUGGUGGUCUGACCAUCUGCAAGUUAUUUCCUCACAGUUCUCGGGGCUAAGAAGCCCAAGAUC
Molecule: non-coding RNA, 957 nt
Organism: Vicugna pacos (alpaca)
Lineage: Eukaryota; Metazoa; Chordata; Mammalia; Artiodactyla; Camelidae
Source: RefSeq, a predicted model, not a curated record